GCGCCUGCAAAAUCAGGCAUCGGGAUUGGCCUCCUGACUAACUCCAUCGACGACACAAGGCGUUAUCGCUUUUUUU
Molecule: small RNA, 76 nt
Filed under: Enterobacter cloacae
Lineage: Bacteria; Pseudomonadati; Pseudomonadota; Gammaproteobacteria; Enterobacterales; Enterobacteriaceae
Description: isrK
Rfam family: isrK Hfq binding RNA
Source: RNAcentral